This 1659-nucleotide ribosomal RNA is filed under the name Triticum aestivum (bread wheat). RNAcentral's name for it is "partial small subunit ribosomal RNA". The record is from RNAcentral. Lineage: Eukaryota; Viridiplantae; Streptophyta; Magnoliopsida; Poales; Poaceae.
AUGGGACGACACUCCCAGAUCCGUGGUGGGCGCGACGACCGCCUGAGCAAGCUCGACGAUGGCGUUCUUGGCAACAUCCUCUCCUUCCUCCCCACCAAGGAGGCCAUGCGGGCGACCGCGCUCUCCACCCGGUGGCGGGACGUCUUCACCAGCGUCCACACGGUUUCUCUAGAGCAAUCGGAAGGCACCGUCUCCCUCGCCAACGGCGUCAACGACGUGCUCCUCGCCCGAUACCGCCACGGCCGCGCCACCGUCCCGAUCCGCUCCCUCCGAGUGGCCUUCCGCUACUACAGUGACGGGAUGAACGACCUCGACUCCAUGAUUGACCGGUGGAUCUCGUACGCCAUCCAGCAGAGUGGACCAGAGCUCCACCUCGACCUGCGCCUCCGCGCCGAUGAAAUCUGCGGCCGCGGCUACUCCCUCCGCAGCGCGGCCGAGGAGAACCAGCCCGGCGUUCAAGACGACGAGCGUGCCAGCAGCAGACGCUCCGCUUGCAGUUCGGACGAUGAAAACCGCGAGGUCGAGUCGCUCCUUCAUGCCCUGGAGGGCAUCGCCCUGGACGCCAUCUCCGACGACGAGGUUGAGACGACCCCUCCUCCCAAAAGACCAUGGCUACGGCAGCAGAAGGACAAGCUGUACACUGUUCCACGAUCUGUCUUCUCCUGCGCCGCGCUGCGCACACUGUUCCUCGGGUGCUGCAAGCUCGACCCGCCGGCGGGCGGGACCAACCUGCCGUCCCUCAAGGCGCUGGUCCUGACCCAUGUUGCCGACUCGGCCAGGAAGAUUCAACGGCUCAUCUCCAGCUGCCCGUUCCUCGCCGACCUGACGCUAGAGGCCUGCGCCAGAGUGAGGGAGCUCUCCGUGCUCGACAAACGCCUCCGCAGGCUGACCCUGCGGUGUUGCCACCGGUUGGCGAGCGUCAUCAUCGAUGCGUCGGAGCUGCGCGCCUUAGAGUACAGGGGUGACGUGCCCGCGCAGCCAUCGUUUCUGACCAUGCACCACGGCCCGCGAAGCCUCUUGUCAUGCAGAGUCGAUUUAUGCGGCGGGGAGCUAACGUCGGAGGAGGAUCUCACCCACCUCGACGAAUUCCUCCACCACUUUGGACCCACGGAGCAUUUGCACCUGACGUCCGCCCGCCUGGGCUCCGGCAUCGACAACGACGCCUUCGCCACACGGUUCCCGACGUUCUUGAAGCUUCGCCACCUUGAGCUCACGGGCUCCCUGCCGCACGACGACGAUACCCACGGCAACGCCGUCGUCGCUGCGGUGGCAAGGAUCCUGGGGCAUGCCCCCAACCUGGAGGUGCUCACGCUAUUCUUCAAGGCGCCGCCUCGCGAGAAGCCAGAGCGCUACGGCAUCUACAAGGAGGAGGAGUUUCUGGACACGCACCAUCUCAAGUAUGACUGCGACACCAUUGUCCUGCAGACGCCGCCUGCCGACCUGCUGCCCCCCUGCCUGAGGGAGAUCAACCUGGUGAACUACCAGGGCGGCAGCGCGCAGAGGAAGCUGGCCAAGUUCCUACUCGGGAACGUUGCCCGGCUGGAGGCGCUAUACUGUGGAUUUGCCGAGGGGCCGCUAUGGAUACAGAACAAGCUCAUGGAUGAGAUGAGAGGCUGGGCCAUGGACAAGAUUGAGCCAAACGACAUGAUGUUCAUGUGA